UACGUAGGGUGCGAGCGUUGUCCGGAAUUAUUGGGCGUAAAGAGCUUGUAGGCGGUUUGUCGCGUCUGCUGUGAAAUCUCAAGGCUCAACCUUGAGCUUGCAGUGGGUACGGGCAGACUAGAGUGUGGUAGGGGAGACUGGAAUUCCUGGUGUAGCGGUGAAAUGCGCAGAUAUCAGGAGGAACACCGGUGGGCGAAGGCGGUUCUCUGGGCAUUACC
Molecule: ribosomal RNA, 218 nt
Filed under: uncultured bacterium
Lineage: Bacteria
Description: partial 16S ribosomal RNA
Rfam family: Bacterial small subunit ribosomal RNA
Source: RNAcentral